GCUUGGGUGGCUCAGUCGAUUAAGCAUCUGACUUCGACUCAGGGCAUGAUCUCGAGGUUUGUGAGUUCGAGCCCCACAUCAAGCU
Molecule: transfer RNA, 85 nt
Filed under: Felis catus (domestic cat)
Lineage: Eukaryota; Metazoa; Chordata; Mammalia; Carnivora; Felidae
Rfam family: tRNA
About the family: Transfer RNA (tRNA) molecules are approximately 80 nucleotides in length. Their secondary structure includes four short double-helical elements and three loops (D, anti-codon, and T loops). Further hydrogen bonds mediate the characteristic L-shaped molecular structure. tRNAs have two regions of fundamental functional importance: the anti-codon, which is responsible for specific mRNA codon recognition, and the 3' end, to which the tRNAs corresponding amino acid is attached (by aminoacyl-tRNA synthetases). tRNAs cope with the degeneracy of the genetic code in two manners: having more than one tRNA (with a specific anti-codon) for a particular amino acid; and 'wobble' base-pairing, i.e. permitting non-standard base-pairing at the 3rd anti-codon position.
Source: Rfam by way of RNAcentral